CCUACGGGUGGCAGCAGUGGGGAAUAUUGGACAAUGGGGGGAACCCUGAUCCAGCGACGCCGCGUGAGUGAAGAAGUAUUUCGGUAUGUAAAGCUCUAUCAGCAGGGAAGAAAAUGACGGUACCUGACUAAGAAGCCCCGGCUAACUACGUGCCAGCAGCCGCGGUAAUACGUAGGGGGCAAGCGUUAUCCGGAUUUACUGGGUGUAAAGGGAGCGUAGACGGUGCAGCAAGUCUGAUGUGAAAGGUCGGGGCCCAACCCCGGGACUGCAUUGGAAACUGUUGAACUGGAGUACAGGAGAGGUAAGCGGAAUUCCUAGUGUAGCGGUGAAAUGCUUAGAUAUCAGGAGGAACAUCGGUGGCGUAAGCGCUUUACUGGGCCGUAAUUGACGCUGAGGAACGAAAGCCAGGGUAGCAAAUGGGAUUAGAUACCCUAGUAGUC
This 440-nucleotide ribosomal RNA is filed under the name uncultured bacterium. RNAcentral describes it as "partial 16S ribosomal RNA". It matches the Rfam family "Bacterial small subunit ribosomal RNA", at positions 338 to 795 of the family's 1533-position model. The record is from RNAcentral.